GACGAACGCUGGCGGCGUGCUUAACACAUGCAAGUCGAACGGAAAGGCCCCGCUUUGUUGGGGUGCUCGAGUGGCGAACUGGUGAGUAACACGUGGGUAAUCUGCCCUUGACUUUGUGAUAAGCUCAGGAAACUGGGUCUAAUACCGGCUAGGAUCUCUCGCCUCAUGGUGUGCGGUGGAAAGUUUCGCCGGUUGGGGAUGGGCUCGCGGCUUAUCACUUUGUUGGUGGGGUAGUGGCUUACCAAGGCCUGGCCGGGUAGCCGGCCUGAGAGGGUCCGCGGCCACAUUGGGACUGAGAUACGGCCCAGACUCCUACGGGAGGCAGCAGUGGGGAAUAGUGCACAAUGGGCGGAAGCCUGAUGCAGCGACGCCGCGUGGGGGAUGACGGCCAUCGUGUUGUAAACCGCUUUCAGUUGAGACGAAGCGCUAGUGACGGUACCGGGAGAAGAAGCACCGGCUAACUACGUG
RNAcentral lists this ribosomal RNA (468 nucleotides) under uncultured bacterium. Its description in RNAcentral is "partial 16S ribosomal RNA". It matches the Rfam family "Bacterial small subunit ribosomal RNA", at positions 28 to 507 of the family's 1533-position model. The record is from RNAcentral.